This 17-nucleotide ribosomal RNA is filed under the name Seiridium cardinale. Its description in RNAcentral is "partial 28S ribosomal RNA". The record is from RNAcentral. Lineage: Eukaryota; Fungi; Ascomycota; Sordariomycetes; Amphisphaeriales; Sporocadaceae.
AAUGGUUGACCUCGGAU